Molecule: long non-coding RNA, 6065 nt
Filed under: Taeniopygia guttata (zebra finch)
Lineage: Eukaryota; Metazoa; Chordata; Aves; Passeriformes; Estrildidae
Description: lncRNA (ENSTGUG00000027250.1)
Source: RNAcentral
GGAUCAACACAGAGUGCAGCUCUGCUCAGGGACAGACCAGAGAUUCUCUUACCAGUCCUGUUGCAUCCAAGCGUGUGCUCCAAAGGCUCUUUGACUAUGACAAGCACAGUUUGAGUAGCAUGAUAAAUUCUACCUACCAAACACCUCUCUCUUUUCAUGCAUGCCUGAUACUGCACCUAGAUCUAUCUUUCAGCUUUUGGAACUGUUACUAACAGUGACAACCUGCUUUUAAUGCCAAUUUCCUUCCAGAGACAAUGCUUUGAUGGUAGGACUGCUAAAGGCUUGGCACUCUCUUCCCUGGUGGAAGCAGAAGGACAUUGCCCUGCUCCAAGGGUUCAGUUCUCUGCCUGCAGAAAUGAAAUGCAGCCACUCUUUCUACGGGUCAAAGGCUUUUCCCUGAUGCCAUUUGUCACUCUGGUUUGGAGGGGUCUUGCCAUCAGAGACAGUGCAGGGACUGUCUGGCCUUGGUUCUGCUGUGAUCGUCCUUGUAGGAAAACACAGACACCAACUGCUCUUUGUAGUUCAGCUUGUGACCACUACUCAUUAAAUCUGUCAUUUCCUCUUCUGCCUUUCAGCAGUGUUUCCUCCAUCAGGAACCUAAUGACCCUCUGCAAGCUCUCAUCCACCUACAAUUACUGGACCUGUGUAAGCUUUGCCAAGUGGCUUAAAUACUGUUUAGUCUCUGGUGUCAGCUGUUGCUCAUAGCUGGCACACAGGUUUGCAACACACUCUCACCUGGCUUUUAUUAUAUCCUCAAAAUACCAAAAAAAACCCCAAAAAAAAACAACCCCAAAAAAAUACCACCCAGGCAAAGGAUCAGACAUUCCCCACUGCAGCUGAAGUAGCUUAAUAUCAGUGGAGUGUACUCACAUCCUUGACUGAUGGAAUUCAGUGGAGCUAACCAAGGAUUUACUUCAACCCUCAGCUGACAAAAAAAAAAAAAAAAAAAAAAAAAAAAAAAAUCUCUGUUCAAAAAGCUUUUAAAGUGGGAAAAAAAAAAAAAAAAAAGAAAAAGCAGCUGUGGUUUUUGUGGUCACAACGGGAACACAGGAUGUCUGUGUUGUUUUCUGCUCCAUGCUUCUCCCUGUGUUCUUGGAAUGGAUCAUUUCAACCCUGUGCCUACAGAAUAAUUACUUCUGCUGGAAAAUGGAUGUAACAUCACUUCCCUAUUGCACGGGGCAGUUUGAGUGGUGACUGCCUUCGGAUCAGACACCCAGCCCUAAUGGUGCUAUUAAAAGCACAGAAAAUUCUAAGAAAAAAAAUAUAUAUAUAGGGUUACAGUAAAAUCAUCUUAGAUAUUUAAAAACAUCCAAAUGUUCCUGUCCACUGGGUUGAAAAUCAACUGUCACCAGGCAAUUUCAAACAUUCAGGCUGUCACACAAGGACAAGGACUGCAGCUCUGUGUCUGCCCAGCUCAGUGGGAUGUCUACAGCAGAUAUGAGCACUGACAGGGGCAGAGGAAGGGGUUACAGUCCUGCCAUGGGUGCUGAGGAUCUGCUGUCCUACACACACCUUUCUUCACACCCCCACUGGACAGAGGGUUCAUGUUGAGUUUUGUUUAAAGGGGGCAGUAGUUCAGUAGACAAUAAUUCUGGGGAUCACAUAAACACUCGUGCAGGGUCAUCAUUAUUAGAAGGAAAUGCUAUUUUAAGGUGUCACAUCUAUUGGAAUUUUCUCUUGGAGACAAAGCCCAAGGGGAACAGGGUCCUGCAGCCAUGUCCUGCAGAAAGUGAGGCUCCUUGCUGGAGAUGGGAAGAGCCAACAUUGACCAGGGAUGUGAACCACUGGCCUGCAGGCUCAGUAUGGAGAGCUUAGUGCUGCUCCUGCAGGUGACACUGGAAUUAUGGUUUAGUUGAGGAGAAGAAUGGCAAAGGAAUGGAAACAAAUUUAAAAAAAAAAUACUUGAAAAGAAAGCCCUCACUUUCUCCAUUCCUCCCCAGUUCAUAUUUACUGUAGUCCCCACCAAACUACACCUAAAAUAGCUUUUGUCAGUUGCUAUUUAGCCAUUUAGGUCGGAUCUACCAGCUGCAUGAGCUUGCCUCUAUUGUACUACUGCAGUUGGACUGUUGCCAUCCUCCUCCCAUGGGUUUUCUACAGAUCUAUAUUUCAAAGUUAUGGCUCUUGCAAAACUCUGCUCUGUGAGUUCAGACAAGCUAAAAAAAAAAUUAGUCAUGUUUCCUCUAGUCGUGCUGCUUUACUAGGCUUCCUAUUUGCAAUCAAAUUAUUUUUAAUUUUGACCACGUUCCUAUUGUUUGCCAGGAAGAUAAUCAUCUUAUCUCGCCACCGGGAUAUUUCUCUCCUUUCUCAUGUAGUUUCAGAUGGAUUAAAUAAAUACCCCUUACACAAAGCACACCAAGCUGGGCAAAAGGGCAUUUCACCAUUGCUGGCUGAUCUGAAAUUUAGGAAAUGUCUCUUUUUUGAGGGAUUAAAAACCAAAAGUUUGGAAGGACUCAGACAUGCCAUAACAGCAGCUGUGCUAAAUCUACACUCUCAGUUAUUUUUAUCCAUCUCAGAGUGGCUUUUUGGAAAUUUUUGGGUGAAGUUAAAAGUUAGUGAGUGACACUGGCUUGUUUUACCAGUGCCAACAAGGGUCACAGGUACAGUCAGCUUGAGUUUUUGGUCUGGAAGAAGCCAAAAAACUCUGUGUGAUCCUCUGGGACCUUUCUGUUCCUUCUUCCCAGAUGAAACUGUAUUUUGUCCAUGCAAGGAACAAGGAAUCCCCCAUCUGUCCAUCCAAGGAGAAGGAUUUUUCCAGGAAUUCCAGGAAGGAUUUCUCAGUGGGUGCUUUUCUCCCCCUCCACCUGCCUGGAGAUCCCAUCCAAGGCACUGAAAUGGGCUCAGCUCACUGCCGUUUGAGCUCUGACCUGGAGUCCUUUACAAAGGAAGGAUUUCUGCCCAGCAAAGGCCAGCAAGCAAGCUGCCAGCUCACAGCAAACCAAGUGGGGAUGACCAGGCACCCUCAGACCCUCCCAGUGCUCCCAGUAUCCCCUCCGUGGAGGAACUGGUUUGCCAACACGUGAGCGACGGGCGCGCGAUGGAAAAGUUGCGCGCACGAGCGGCGCGGCUGGAACCCAAACUGUUCUGCUUUGUGUUUUGCAACCUUCACCCACAUCCACUUUCCUCCUGCUGGAUGCUGAGUGCUUUACCUCCAACUUCCUAAUUAUCGGAGCGCCACCGCCGCCACAGAUGAGGAAAUGGGGACAUAUGGCUUUUGUGAUAAGAGAUUUAUGUGAGCUGUCUGUGCAGAAGCCCUGCAACUUUCUAUACAAGUCCAUUUGUAAAACAAAACAUGUGUAAACAGCCACGUUUGGAUUGUUUUGGUGAUUUCUUCCCCCUCAUGACAGAUGUAAAGGAAAAAAUUGAGGUUUCCACUUGGUGCGUGCAGAUAAUUCUGUGGCGAAUGGGAGAGAUCCCACUUGCAGUAAAUCACCCAAUCCUUCCUUUGAUUUCUGUCACCUAAAAUCCAGCUCCAUGUGGGUAAAUGGGAAGAAAUACAAAGAAACUGGGGCUCAUACAUGAUCCCCUUUCAGCUGCAGGAGCACAAAUAUUCCUGAAAAGCUCCUGGCAAGAGUACAGUAAAUAGUGCAAAAUACCAAUAGAAAAGGCAGCCAAAAUCCAGUGAUUAUAAUGGGUGGCUUUGACUACACCCUGUAGAUUGGUUAUCUUUCAAAUCAAGAGACAGAUUAGAGAAAUAGAGUCAUAUUCUCAAGGAACAAAAUCCUGUUAUCAGUGGGGACAAAGAGCAGGACAGUCUGGAGACCCAAACCUUUAUCCAUGUCUGGGCCAUGCUCUUUCACUCCUGCUCUUGUCCCUUACACUCCAGAAAAGCCACUUGCAGGAUGGACAGUCUUGGUUCUUUUCAGGGAAAGUCUCAAGGUUCUCUCUGAAGUUUCUGGGAAAGUGAGAUGGAAACACAGGAUGUCCAUUGCAAUUUUUUUGCUUUCCUGCAGUCUCAGCUGCAAAUGCCACAAGGAUAAUAUUUCUUUCAACAAUAUUCAGGUGCCAGAUGAACCCAUAAAUAUUCUGGAAUAGUUCUGACCUUACCUGAGAAAGUUUAAACCAAGCCUGUUUGCAGACUAGCAGGGUAAUAAUUCUCCAGGGCUUCCAGAUUCACACUUCUCAGCAGUGUGACAGAGGCACCUUGCAAACACAGUUUGGUUUGGUUUGGUUGACAUAAGUUCCAAGCAUGGCCCACAUGUGAAAAAGCUUCACAGAAAAAUGCCCUCCAACGACAUUUCCUUAACAACCCACCCAGAAAUCAGAGCCUCUUCACUUUCACUCUGUCAGUUUUGGAGAUGUUUUUCCCCUUGUUUGGGCAGAGAAGGUGAGUCAUGGAACAGAGGCAGUGUGGAAAUUUACAUUCAGCUAUGAAAGUGCAUGUUAUGAUUACCAUGAAAGAAAAAAAAUCAUCCACACAACUCAAUCUCUGUGUAAGUCAUACCCAGCUUUGAAGAAAUGUGAGUUUAAACCUGUUCUUUUUGGUUGAUUGACACUGCUGGCUGCUGCAGUGUCACUUGGAGCCUUCAGCCUUUGCUCUGUCAGAUCUGAAAUCCCUCUUCUGGCAGCUGUUUCCAGCCAGGUGGAUGGACACAAAUGCUGGUCAGAGAGGGCUGGGGGUCAUCGAUUUCCUCUGACCCUCCCAUGGAACAACUUCCCAACCCCUCAAGAUGGGACAUUGCAAUAUUCCCAAGUGUUUGAUGGGUGGCAGUGCAUGGAGAGUGCUCCCUGCUCUUGGGUUUUCAUGCCCUGAACCCUCUCCUCCAGGGUGGGCACUGAGCAUUUUGUGUUCAAGUGCAGGACUCACCCUUUCCUUUUAAAAUACGGUGCCUGCUGCUGCCACCUACCUUUUGUGCUGGAGUGGAUCCUAAAAAUAUUCCAUAUAUUGAGUCUGGGAUUUGAGAAUUUCCUCCUCAUCCCAAAAGCUAAAGCCAAGCUACAAACCACGAGGUUAAUUUGUUGUGUGGACAGGAGGUUUUAUCUGAAAAACAUUUCCUGCCUGGGAAGCGGAAAAGUUUCAAAACUCAUCGAGAGAUCACUUUUUGCUCUCGCCUGGUUAUGAGGGCUUUCAUACAGCAGAUUUUGGCAUCUGCCCUGCAGAGCAGAUGGUCAUAUCAUGCAGGGAGCAUUUCAUGCAACUGGGGGUGCAGAGGAAGGUGGCUGGGAAGUGUGUGACCCCACAGCAACUGAGAUCUGAACCCAACUCUCAUCACCCUUCCCAACCACUCCACGACAUUGUGACAGUAAAACAGAAGCAGAGGUAGAGAUGAAAUGCAGUCCUCAAAUAUUUGUCCCCAGAAAACCUCUGCAUACCUGUGGGCAUUUCUGAGGAGGAGCACAAAGCCCUUAGGAAUGCUGCCAUGUGUGGUUUGUGCCACGUUUGUCUAUCAGACAGCCUCCAGUUCGCUCAGAACACGUGGGGAAUAUUUAAGUAAAAUAAAUGUGGCUUUUCUAUCAGUCCUAACAGUAAGAGGGACAUAGAAGAGCUCUAAGUCUCCUUUUCCACCUGUUUUUCUGCAGCAAACAGCAGACUUGCAAUUCAUUUUUGGUCAGGAGGAGCUGCAGCUGAUGCAGAUCUGCCAAGCCCAGGCACUGCCUUGCAGAGGUUUUGGCAUCACAGGUUUGGAUUUAUGUGCUCACAUCUCUUCAGACCCAUCCCCAGCUCCAGCCUUCAGCUGAGGAGCAGCUCACAAUGUCUGAGUGCUCACUCCUCCCCAGAAAGUGGCAGUCAGCAUCUGUAGAACAGCUGGAACUCUGCACAGAGCCACACACCUCUGCCCAUCCUUCCUCCAGCCUUUGGAAAUGUUCCCAAGAGCGACUCGAGGCGGCAGAAUCCAGGGGCAGGUCCUCAGCACACCCAUCAGCAGAGAGCUGUUGACAUCAGUGGAAACAGCCUUGACACACAUCAGGAUCCUUAUAUUGUUCAGGGACACCCUAGAAUUGAAAUCCCCCUAGCAGGAUUCCUGGGCCACCAGACACGUUCAGGGAAGAAGAGAUGCUUGGAAGAAUUUUGGCUUUCAGCAGUAAUUGGUGUGUGCAGAAUCAAUUCCCAUUAAAACCAGGUGCUU